AGCAGCCGCGGUAAUUCCAGCUCCAAUAGCGUAUAUUAAAGUUGUUGCAGUUAAAAAGCUCGUAGUUGAAUUUCGGGAUCAAUUUAUCGGUCGUGCCAACGGUAUGAACUGGUACAAUUGGUUUCUCCCUUCUUACGAAGCAUGAUGUCAUUAAUUUGGUGUCGUGGGGAAUCAGGACUGUUACUUUGAAAAAAUUAGAGUGUUUAAAGCAAGCAUUAGCUUGAAUACAUUAGCAUGGAAUAAUGAAAUAGGACGUUUGAUCCUAUUUCGUUGGUUUCUAGGAUCGACGUAAUGAUUAAUAGGGAUAGUUGGGGGCAUUAGUAUUCAAUUGUCAGAGGUGAAAUUCUUGAAUUUAUUGAAGACUAACUACUGCGAAAGCAUUUGCCAAGGAUGUUUUCAUUAAUCAAGAACGAAAGUUAGGGGAUCGAAGACGGUCAGAUACCGUCGUAGUCUUAACCAUAAACUAUGCCGACUAGGGAUCGGAUGAUGUUAAUUUUUUAAUGACUCA
RNAcentral lists this ribosomal RNA (508 nucleotides) under uncultured Glomus. RNAcentral describes it as "SSU rRNA". It matches the Rfam family "Eukaryotic small subunit ribosomal RNA", at positions 569 to 1078 of the family's 1831-position model. The record is from RNAcentral. Lineage: Eukaryota; Fungi; Glomeromycota; Glomeromycetes; Glomerales; Glomeraceae.